RNAcentral lists this ribosomal RNA (403 nucleotides) under uncultured bacterium. RNAcentral describes it as "bacterial SSU rRNA". It matches the Rfam family "Bacterial small subunit ribosomal RNA", at positions 107 to 507 of the family's 1533-position model. The record is from RNAcentral.
UGAGUAAUGCAUCGGAACGUACCUUUCAGUGGGGGAUAACGUAGCGAAAGUUACGCUAAUACCGCAUAUUCUGUGAGCAGGAAAGCAGGGGAUCGCAAGACCUUGCGCUGAUUGAGCGGCCGAUGUCAGAUUAGCUAGUUGGUGAGGUAAAGGCUCACCAAGGCGACGAUCUGUAGCGGGGUCUGAGAGGAUGAUCGCCACACUGGAACUGAGACACGGUCCAGACUCCUACGGGAGGCAGCAGUGGGGAAUUUUGGACAAUGGGGCAACCCUGAUCCAGCCAUGCCGCGUGAGUGAAGAAGGCCUUCGGGUUGUAAAGCUCUUUCGGCCGGGAAGAAAUCGCAUGGGUUAAUACCCUGUGCGGAUGACGGUACCGGCAUAAGAAGCACCGGCUAACUACGUG